RNAcentral lists this ribosomal RNA (697 nucleotides) under Grosmannia penicillata. Its description in RNAcentral is "eukaryotic LSU rRNA". It matches the Rfam family "Eukaryotic large subunit ribosomal RNA", at positions 148 to 873 of the family's 3401-position model. Lineage: Eukaryota; Fungi; Ascomycota; Sordariomycetes; Ophiostomatales; Ophiostomataceae. The record is from RNAcentral.
AUCUGGAGAGGAUGCUUCUGGCGCGGUGCCUUCCGAGUUCCCUGGAACGGGACGCCGGAGAGGGUGAGAGCCCCGUACGGUUGGACACCUAGCCUCUGUGAAGCUCCUUCGACGAGUCGAGUAGUUUGGGAAUGCUGCUCAAAAUGGGAGGUAAAUUUCUUCUAAAGCUAAAUAUUGGCCAGAGACCGAUAGCGCACAAGUAGAGUGAUCGAAAGAUGAAAAGCACUUUGAAAAGAGAGUUAAAAAGUACGUGAAAUUGUUGAAAGGGAAGCGCCCGUGGCCAGACUUGCGCUGCGCGGACCACCCAGCGUUCUCGCUGGUGCACUCCGCGCGGCGCAGGCCAGCAUCGGUUUUCCUAGGGGGAUAAAGGUCGCGGGAACGUAGCUCCUCCGGGAGUGUUAUAGCCCGUGGCGUCAUGCCCCUGGGGGGACCGAGGACCGCGCUUCGGCAAGGAUGCUGGCGUAAUGGCCACCGGCGACCCGUCUUGAAACACGGACCAAGGAGUCAAGCAUUGGGGCGAGUGUCUGGGUGUCAAACCCGCACGCGAAAUGAAAGUGAACGCAGGUGAGAGCUUCGGCGCAUCAUCGACCGAUCCUGAUGUUCUCGGAUGGAUUUGAGUAAGAGCCUUACCGCUUGGACCCGAAARAUGGUGAACUAUGCCUGUAUAGGGUGAAGCCAGAGGAAACUCUGGUGGAGG